CCCACAUCCAUAUACUUCUACUUACAGUCCUGCGCACAGGGAAAAGGAGAGAUGAGCAACAAGUUACUCAGUAAAGUGACUCUAGACCAGCCUGUCCGCAUGACACUCUAUACUACUCUAUGCGGGAACUAGGGCUGACUAGCCAAUACAAUCAGUUAAUGCAUCUUAACAUUUCAUAUCAUCAUCAUUUAUUUCCAAACAUUCAAUUCCAUACAUUUCUAACAACCUAACGAUCAGUC
RNAcentral lists this long non-coding RNA (239 nucleotides) under Brassica napus (rape). RNAcentral's name for it is "long non-coding RNA (BNAP_LNC013909)". Lineage: Eukaryota; Viridiplantae; Streptophyta; Magnoliopsida; Brassicales; Brassicaceae. The record is from RNAcentral.